This 467-nucleotide ribosomal RNA is filed under the name uncultured bacterium. RNAcentral's name for it is "partial 16S ribosomal RNA". It matches the Rfam family "Bacterial small subunit ribosomal RNA", at positions 28 to 507 of the family's 1533-position model. The record is from RNAcentral.
GAUGAACGCUGACAGAAUGCUUAACACAUGCAAGUCAACUUGAAUUUGGGUUUUUAACUUAGGUUUGGGUGGCGGACGGGUGAGUAACGCGUAAAGAACUUGCCUCACAGCUAGGGACAACAUUUGGAAACGAAUGCUAAUACCUAAUAUUAUGAUAAUAGGGCAUCCUAUAAUUAUGAAAGCUAUAAGCGCUGUGAGAGGGCUUUGCGUCCCAUUAGCUAGUUGGAGAGGUACCGGCUCACCAAGGCGAUGAUGGGUAGCCGGCCUGAGAGGGUGAUCGGCCACAAGGGGACUGAGACACGGCCCUUACUCCUACGGGAGGCAGCAGUGGGGAAUAUUGGACAAUGGACCGAGAGUCUGAUCCAGCAAUUCUGUGUGCACGAUGAAGUUUUUCGGAAUGUAAAGUGCUUUCAGUUGGGAAGAAACAAAUGACGGUACCAACAGAAGAAGUGACGGCUAAAUACGUG